GGCCCCGCUCCGGGGUGCACGCAUGUGGCGUGCUGAGAUGGCAAAGCUGCCGACCCGCGAACUUGAUCCGGGUCAUACCGGCGUAAGAAGAGCUGCACUCCCUGAC
Molecule: non-coding RNA, 106 nt
Filed under: Variovorax gossypii
Lineage: Bacteria; Pseudomonadati; Pseudomonadota; Betaproteobacteria; Burkholderiales; Comamonadaceae
Also listed under: 2 other names
Description: TPP riboswitch aptamer (THI element)
Rfam family: TPP riboswitch aptamer (THI element)
About the family: Vitamin B(1) in its active form thiamin pyrophosphate (TPP) is an essential coenzyme that is synthesised by coupling of pyrimidine and thiazole moieties in bacteria.
Source: Rfam by way of RNAcentral